This 162-nucleotide small nuclear RNA is filed under the name Gossypium barbadense (sea-island cotton). RNAcentral describes it as "U1 spliceosomal RNA". It matches the Rfam family "U1 spliceosomal RNA". Rfam says of the family: U1 is a small nuclear RNA (snRNA) component of the spliceosome (involved in pre-mRNA splicing). RNAcentral also lists the same sequence under 1 other name. The record is from Rfam by way of RNAcentral. Lineage: Eukaryota; Viridiplantae; Streptophyta; Magnoliopsida; Malvales; Malvaceae.
AUACUUACCUGGACGGGGUCAAUGAGUGAUCAGGAAGACUCAUGGCCUAGAGCAGUGACCUCCAUUGCACUUGGGAGGGGUGCUGCUUUAAGGUCUCCCCAAGAGGGAGAGCCUACGUCAUAAUUUGUGGCAGUGGGGGGCUUGCGUUCGCGCAGCCCCUAU